CCGCCAAAGGACCUUCAAACUCCAGUCAGUAAACGCAGACGUCUGAUAAACAAGUUAAUAAACUAAAACUUUCAACAACGGAUCUCUUGGUUCUGGCAUCGAUGAAGAACGCAGCGAAAUGCGAUAAGUAAUGUGAAUUGCAGAAUUCAGUGAAUCAUCGAAUCUUUGAACGCACAUUGCGCCCCUUGGUAUUCCGGGGGGCAUGCCUGUUCGAGCGUCAUUACAACCCUCAAGCUCUGCUUGGAAUUGGGCACCGUCCUCACUGCGGACGCGCCUCAAAGACCUCGGCGGUGGCUGUUCAGCCCUCAAGCGUAGUAGAAUACACCUCGCUUUGGAGCGGUUGGCGUCGCCCGCCGGACGAACACUUCUGAACUUUCUCAAGGUUGACCUCGGAUCAGGUAGGGA
RNAcentral lists this ribosomal RNA (405 nucleotides) under Lasiodiplodia theobromae. RNAcentral's name for it is "eukaryotic LSU rRNA". The stretch from base 67 to 220 matches the Rfam family "5.8S ribosomal RNA". Lineage: Eukaryota; Fungi; Ascomycota; Dothideomycetes; Botryosphaeriales; Botryosphaeriaceae. The record is from RNAcentral.